Molecule: long non-coding RNA, 1287 nt
Organism: Engraulis encrasicolus (European anchovy)
Lineage: Eukaryota; Metazoa; Chordata; Actinopteri; Clupeiformes; Engraulidae
Exons: 3
Source: RefSeq, a predicted model, not a curated record
UUAAAUGAACCGAAUAGAAAUCAGAAUAGAAACAUCUGAAUGAUCUUUCUUGGACAUAGCCUACAUUUUGAAGUGACCCUUUGAAUUAAAAAGGUUCCUCACCCCUGCUUUUGAGGAAAAACAUCAAUGUGCUUGGCCACUCUGGUUUUUAAAUUAUUCUGAACUAGCAAGGAUUGUUCAAGGAAGUUCAAAACAGACUGUCUCUGGUUAAAUUAGUUCUACACCAAGCCUUUAGGUGGCAGUACAACUAAUUCGCACAAUGCGAAUUCCACACACAAGCCACAAAGAAGCCAUCUUCCGCGGUCAACAACACCGACCUAUCUGAACAACACCACGCGCUGUCUGUGUGGUUUCACUGUUACAAGUUUCUUGGCGAUAUGGGGGAAAGUUCCUCACAUACCAACGGAAAAUGGGCUUCACAUACAUGCUGCUGUCUCAUAAUAUGGCGAAGACGAGUCACUUGAAGGCCUAACAGCUCUUAUGAGGAGCAGUCUUGCCAUAGAAGACUGAAAGAAUGAGCUGUAGAAACAACAGGGUGCCUGCUGCAGUAUGACGAGGACGCCCUGAUCAUAGAAGGUCCAGUGUCUUGGCAGGGUGAAAUGGCACUGAUAUCGGUAUGUGGUGAUAUCAGUUAAAAUUAAUGAAUUAAUUCUCAUAUCUGAAUAAUGUGAACACUGGAUUUACCACACACUCACACACACCCUAGUCCUAGAUGAUACAACCAAGGUUACUUUUACCACAGCUCUGGCACUGCAUCAAAUUUCUUUUCUUUUUUAUAGAACUGGACAGGUCAUUUAUUCGUUCCCCUUGUUUUUUGCAGUGUCCUGCAGGAUGCUGUGUCCUGCAAUCCUGUGUGCUGUGCUACAGACGCGUGUGGAGGUCAACCCGAAAUGGGCACAGUAGAGUGAAAGAGGGUAAGCUUAACCUAUAGCCUACGUCAGGGUUGGGGAACCUUUCUCAUUCGAAUGGCCACUUCAAAUUCAUCCGAGGGGCCAUAAAAGUCCUCCAAGGGCCGUACUAUGAACACAAACCAGGAUUUUCCCUUUCACUUUAGGCCUAUAUUGAAGGCAGCCACAUUUAAACAAACGCCAACUUCAGGUUCCCUGAAUAUAACUUAAUUGUAUUGCUAAUGUAUUUUCUAAGAUUCCUUUACAAAAUAUGUCAUAUUUCAUGUGAAGAUGGAAUUGCAUUAAAAUUAUAUCGGGGGCCGGAUAAAACAGCCUCAAGGGUCGCAAACGGCCCUAGAGACAUAGGUUCCCCACCCCUGUCCUACAUUGUCAAUAUGAC